CAUAGGAGAUCUCUCAUUUUCUCAGCAAAGUCUGGCAGGAAAGUUUUUCUUCCUUUUCUUCUUUCUUCUGUUUUUUUUUCUUCUGCAGAGGAAGGAGUUUGGGAUUUGUGGAGCAAAUUCUCUGGAUCUUCCCCCUCAUCAUCACAGAAAAAGGAGAUGGGUAGCAGUUAUUUUGGGGAACCAAACAUGGGAAAUGAAAGAUCUGGGUCUUCAAGGAAAGGCAAGAAGAGUAAUUCAGACAAGCCCAAGCAGCCCCAGAGAGGGCUGGGAGUUGCUCAGUUGGAGAAGAUCAGAUUGCAUAGUCAAAUGGGUUGUAGCUACAUGCCUUCUCUUCAUGGUCCAUAUCCACUACCCUCAACCAGGAGGACAUGAGAGUGCAAACAGCCUAUUCAUCAGUACCAUCAUCGUCAUCUUUUUCUUAUUCACCAUCCUCAUCAUCCACGGCAUCUUAUGGUUUCCACCCCAAUAUGAUGAUGGGUCUGAGUGAAAUGGAUAGGUCAAAUAUUAGAUAUGGUGAUUCUCAACCUAGUACUACAGCGAGGUGGAACCCCGGCAAUGGUACUGAAACGGAAAUUAAUUUAUGGGUUUUUUUUCCCCCUCUUCUUGGAAUUCUAUUCUAUUAAGAAAAUGCUGAAUUUCCAAUGGAUAUAUGGAAUUCAUCAAAACCAGGUGGAACCCCAGCAGUGGCACAAUGGAGACCCAACAGUAUUCACAAUUGAACAUGACAAGACACCUUCUGAAUCUAGAAGUAGAGGACUCAUUUCAGAAGAAGAGAAAGAAAGACCGGAGCGAUUCAUUGGGCUCAAGCAGUCAGAACUCUGAAUCAAGUGACACUCAAGAACUAGACUUGGAGCUCAGACUGUCGCUUUAAUCAGCUAUUCACAGCCAUUCAGAUGCAUGGAUUGAUAUAUUUUAUGAUUCUACUUACAAUUCAAAAGUUCGAUAUAAUUGGUGGGAUUUGCAGAAUGGCACUAGUCGAGCAACUUGAGUUAUAUUUUAGAAGGAAUCUUGUGUAAUGAAAGGUAGAUUGACUCUUCAUAAAAGAUUAAUGCAAUUUUCUACUUGGGUCAUUUCAUGACUAUGGAGGAAAUGAGAAUGUCUUGUUUACUUUCAAUUUCUUA
RNA transcript from Vitis riparia (riverbank grape), 1121 nucleotides. It is a transcript of the gene named protein SPEAR3-like, with no coding region annotated. Lineage: Eukaryota; Viridiplantae; Streptophyta; Magnoliopsida; Vitales; Vitaceae. The transcript is spliced from 5 exons. The record is from RefSeq and is a predicted model, not a curated record.